AGUGAACGCUGGCGGUAGGCCUAACACAUGCAAGUCGAACGGCAGCACAGUAAGAGCUUGCUCUUACGGGUGGCGAGUGGCGGACGGGUGAGGAAUACAUCGGAAUCUACUUUUUCGUGGGGGAUAACGUAGGGAAACUUACGCUAAUACCGCAUACGACCUACGGGUGAAAGCAGGGGAUCUUCGGACCUUGCGCGAUUGAAUGAGCCGAUGUCGAAUUAGCUAGUUGGCGGGGUAAAGGCCCACCAAGGCGACGAUCCGUAGCUGGCCUGAGAGGAUGAUCAGCCACACUGGAACUGAGACACGGUCCAGACUCCUACGGGAGGCAGCAGUGGGGAAUAUUGGACAAUGGGCGCAAGCCUGAUCCAGCCAUACCGCGUGGGUGAAGAAGGCCUUCGGGUUGUAAAGCCCUUUUGUUGGGAAAGAAAAGCAGCAGGUUAAUACCCCGCUGUUCUGACGGUACCCAAAGAAUAAGCACCGGCUAACUUCGUG
RNAcentral lists this ribosomal RNA (492 nucleotides) under uncultured bacterium. Its description in RNAcentral is "partial 16S ribosomal RNA". It matches the Rfam family "Bacterial small subunit ribosomal RNA", at positions 29 to 507 of the family's 1533-position model. The record is from RNAcentral.